RNAcentral lists this ribosomal RNA (753 nucleotides) under Curtobacterium sp. RNAcentral describes it as "bacterial SSU rRNA". It matches the Rfam family "Bacterial small subunit ribosomal RNA", at positions 95 to 859 of the family's 1533-position model. The record is from RNAcentral. Lineage: Bacteria; Bacillati; Actinomycetota; Actinomycetes; Micrococcales; Microbacteriaceae.
GUGGCGAACGGGUGAGUAACACGUGAGUAACCUGCCCCUGACUCUGGGAUAAGCGUUGGAAACGACGUCUAAUACUGGAUAUGAUCGCCGGCCGCAUGGUCUGGUGGUGGAAAGAUUUUUUGGUUGGGGAUGGACUCGCGGCCUAUCAGCUUGUUGGUGAGGUAAUGGCUCACCAAGGCGACGACGGGUAGCCGGCCUGAGAGGGUGACCGGCCACACUGGGACUGAGACACGGCCCAGACUCCUACGGGAGGCAGCAGUGGGGAAUAUUGCACAAUGGGCGAAAGCCUGAUGCAGCAACGCCGCGUGAGGGAUGACGGCCUUCGGGUUGUAAACCUCUUUUAGUAGGGAAGAAGCGAGAGUGACGGUACCUGCAGAAAAAGCACCGGCUAACUACGUGCCAGCAGCCGCGGUAAUACGUAGGGUGCAAGCGUUGUCCGGAAUUAUUGGGCGUAAAGAGCUCGUAGGCGGUUUGUCGCGUCUGCUGUGAAAUCCCGAGGCUCAACCUCGGGCUUGCAGUGGGUACGGGCAGACUAGAGUGCGGUAGGGGAGAUUGGAAUUCCUGGUGUAGCGGUGGAAUGCGCAGAUAUCAGGAGGAACACCGAUGGCGAAGGCAGAUCUCUGGGCCGUAACUGACGCUGAGGAGCGAAAGCAUGGGGAGCGAACAGGAUUAGAUACCCUGGUAGUCCAUGCCGUAAACGUUGGGCGCUAGAUGUAGGGACCUUUCCACGGUUUCUGUGUCGUAGCUAACGCA